Molecule: long non-coding RNA, 685 nt
Organism: Anopheles arabiensis
Lineage: Eukaryota; Metazoa; Arthropoda; Insecta; Diptera; Culicidae
Exons: 3
Source: RefSeq, a predicted model, not a curated record
AGAAUUGUAUAGUUCGUUCGGUGUGUUCAACGGGGUCACCUAGAAAAUGUGUUUAUUUCAAUCGUCCGUGUUGCCAACUAGAUCAUCUUGACGAAUCACCCACAUCUGCCAUUUGUAUUCUUUUGAAUCGAGAGGUUGCUAUUUUCAAGACAGCUGUCGUGGUACGUUUUUGUGUGUGAAGGAUGAAGUGACGCUUUUUUUGUGAAGCCGUAUAAUUUAGGCAAUCAUAGCAGCAAACAUGAGUGUAUAUUUUUCAAACGUGGCUCUUCCGAUGUUUGAUUCAUCGCUUGAAUAUGAUGAAGUAAAUGAAGCUGUGAGCAGUGAUAUGGAUGCAAUAUCUACUGAAAAUGAAUCAGAUGAAAAUAGUGACGCAAUGGAGCAUGAUGCUGAUGAUAACCAAACCUCUGAAGGGUCUUUCGUGGAUGGUUUAAGAAGAAGCACAACACGGCACGGACUGAAAGCGCGGAAACACAUGACAUACUGGUGAGCGGCUGCUCAAAACGAUGAGGCUCGAGGUGACAAUCACGGAUGAGGCCGGUAGAGAGGCUGCGCAAUGGCGGAUGAGGCCGGUAGAGCGGCUGCGCAAAGAAAGAAGCGGCAUGACCGGUACAACUCGGAAAUCGGUGAUUCGGUGAUUCGGUGAUUCGGUGAAUCUUGGAACGCAAAAUCUCUAUCUGCGGCUCGA